GUAAGGAAUAUUGGUCAAUGGACGAAAGUCUGAACCAGCCAUGCCGCGUGGAGGAUGAAGGUCCUCUGGAUUGUAAACUUCUUUUAUAUGGGACGAAAAAAGGCUUUUCUAAGUCGUCUGACGGUACCAUAUGAAUAAGCACCGGCUAACUCCGUGCCAGCAGCCGCGGUAAUACGGAGGGUGCAAGCGUUAUCCGGAUUCACUGGGUUUAAAGGGUGCGUAGGUGGAUUGCCAAGUCCGUGGUGAAAUCUUCGAGCUUAACUCGGAAACUGCCAUGGAUACUGGUGAUCUUGAAUAUCGUGGAGGUUAGCGGAAUAUGUCAUGUAGCGGUGAAAUGCUUAGAUAUGACAUAGAACACCAAUUGCGAAGGCAGCUGGCUACGCGAAUAUUGACACUCAGGCACGAAAGCGUGGGGAUCAAACAGGAUUAGAAACCCCUGUAGUCC
RNAcentral lists this ribosomal RNA (445 nucleotides) under uncultured bacterium. Its description in RNAcentral is "partial 16S ribosomal RNA". It matches the Rfam family "Bacterial small subunit ribosomal RNA", at positions 354 to 796 of the family's 1533-position model. The record is from RNAcentral.